Camelina sativa (false flax) is the source of this 439-nucleotide non-coding RNA. The record is from RefSeq and is a predicted model, not a curated record. Lineage: Eukaryota; Viridiplantae; Streptophyta; Magnoliopsida; Brassicales; Brassicaceae.
CCAAUUCAGAAGAGACUCUUUGACUGUAUUUAUAUUUUGGCAGUCUAAAGAGGGCAAAGAGAAGGCGACCCAGUGAGGAAGCUAAGGAAGCUCACGUUGAAGACAUAUCAUCAACUGCACCUUCUGCAAGCCAACUCUGAUUCUAAGACUAAUUAGAGAUGAGUUGAUAUUUUGAGAUUUUAUAACCUAUGAAACUAUUGAGAUGUUUGAGAAAAGAAGUGGGUAAGCUUAAUGAAGUGAUAGAUGGGAAAUAAUAUCUACUUAGAAGCUAUAAGGAGUAGAAGAUGGAGUCUUUGCAGAAGAUAAAAGAGUUGCAACAGAGACGAAGGACAGAGAUUUGUUUGGUUGUAGUUAAUAUAAUUUUAGGGUGAAUGUGAGGUUUUAUGUACAACUAGAUCACUUAGGUACAAUUGAGAAAAUUUCAGUAUAACUUGAACUA